This is a long non-coding RNA of Lynx canadensis (Canada lynx), 509 nucleotides long. RefSeq lists it as uncharacterized. The transcript has 2 exons. NCBI's taxonomy places the organism in Eukaryota, Metazoa, Chordata, Mammalia, Carnivora, Felidae. The record is from RefSeq and is a predicted model, not a curated record.
UCCUGGCCCCCAGCUUUCCGUGUGGUGGGGCUCUCAGUACUGAUCCUGUUAAAUCCACUUCUAUCUUUAGUGAAAACCUACAACGUUAUUGCCACGAGUCAGAGAGAUCGGAAGGUGUUAAAGCUGCCACUGGCAUUCGGCCGUGAUGCCUCACGCAGAGGGGACCAAAAGCGAUCUGCGCGCAAUAUUUAUCACGGAGAAUUUGGUCAAACAGCAGAGGAGGACUUACCGAAAUCCCAGAUCCCUUCUCCCUCUGCUGCCAUCGGUGAAGCUAAAAAAAAACACAAGUUUUCUGAAAGUAGCAAGUUGUGUAGUAUUGCUUAUUAUUCCUGCCCAAAAGGCUCAGUCUUUGGCUCACGGAUGUCAGUGACAAAAUCAUGGCUGCAGGCAGUCUGUAAAGCAAGAAGCGAGAGCCACCGGGGGAAAGAGACAAGGGUCUGGGCAGAAGGGAUGUCCUUUGCCGGGAUCUUAAGGAAAAGCCGCGUUGGGGGGGGGGGGGGGGGGGGGAG